GACGAACGCUGGCGGCGUGCUUAACACAUGCAAGUCGAACGGAAAGGCCCUGCUUUUGUGGGGUGCUCGAGUGGCGAACGGGUGAGUAACACGUGAGUAACCUGCCCUUGACUUUGGGAUAACUUCAGGAAACUGGGGCUAAUACCGGAUAGGAGCUCCUGCUGCAUGGUGGGGGUUGGAAAGUUUCGGCGGUUGGGGAUGGACUCGCGGCUUAUCAGCUUGUUGGUGGGGUAGUGGCUUACCAAGGCUUUGACGGGUAGCCGGCCUGAGAGGGUGACCGGCCACAUUGGGACUGAGAUACGGCCGAGACUACUACGGGAGGCAGCAGUGGGGAAUAUUGCACAAUGGGCGGAAGCCUGAUGCAGCAACGCCGCGUGCGGGAUGAAGGCCUUCGGGUUGUAAACCGCUGUCGCCUGUGACGAAGCGUGAGUGACGGUAAUGGGUAAAGAAGCACCGGCUAACUACGUG
RNAcentral lists this ribosomal RNA (468 nucleotides) under uncultured bacterium. Its description in RNAcentral is "partial 16S ribosomal RNA". It matches the Rfam family "Bacterial small subunit ribosomal RNA", at positions 28 to 507 of the family's 1533-position model. The record is from RNAcentral.